RNAcentral lists this ribosomal RNA (457 nucleotides) under Salmonella enterica subsp. enterica serovar Typhimurium. Its description in RNAcentral is "bacterial SSU rRNA". It matches the Rfam family "Bacterial small subunit ribosomal RNA", at positions 518 to 974 of the family's 1533-position model. Lineage: Bacteria; Pseudomonadati; Pseudomonadota; Gammaproteobacteria; Enterobacterales; Enterobacteriaceae. The record is from RNAcentral.
CGGUAAUACGGAGGGUGCAAGCGUUAAUCGGAAUUACUGGGCGUAAAGCGCACGCAGGCGGUCUGUCAAGUCGGAUGUGAAAUCCCCGGGCUCAACCUGGGAACUGCAUUCGAAACUGGCAGGCUUGAGUCUUGUAGAGGGGGGUAGAAUUCCAGGUGUAGCGGUGAAAUGCGUAGAGAUCUGGAGGAAUACCGGUGGCGAAGGCGGCCCCCUGGACAAAGACUGACGCUCAGGUGCGAAAGCGUGGGGAGCAAACAGGAUUAGAUACCCUGGUAGUCCACGCCGUAAACGAUGUCUACUUGGAGGUUGUGCCCUUGAGGCGUGGCUUCCGGAGCUAACGCGUUAAGUAGACCGCCUGGGGAGUACGGCCGCAAGGUUAAAACUCAAAUGAAUUGACGGGGGCCCGCACAAGCGGUGGAGCAUGUGGUUUAAUUCGAUGCAACGCGAAGAACCUUAC